CGAGCGGAAGGCCCUUCGGGGUACUCGAGCGGCGAACGGGUGAGUAACACGUGAGCAACCUGCCCCAGGCUUUGGGAUAACCCCGGGAAACCGGGGCUAAUACCGAAUAUGACCUCUGACCGCAUGGUUGGUGGUGGAAAGUUUUUCGGCUUGGGAUGGGCUCGCGGCCUAUCAGCUUGUUGGUGGGGUGAUGGCCUACCAAGGCGACGACGGGUAGCCGGCCUGAGAGGGCGACCGGCCACACUGGGACUGAGACACGGCCCAGACUCCUACGGGAGGCAGCAGUGGGGAAUAUUGCACAAUGGGCGGAAGCCUGAUGCAGCGACGCCGCGUGAGGGAUGACGGCCUUCGGGUUGUAAACCUCUUUCAGCAGGGACGAAGCGUAAGUGACGGUACCUGCAGAAGAAGCGCCGGCCAACUACGUGCCAGCAGCCGCGGUAAGACGUAGGGCGCGAGCGUUGUCCGGAUUUAUUGGGCGUAAAGAGCUCGUAGGCGGCUUGUCGCGUCGACCGUGAAAACUUGGGGCUCAACCCCAAGCCUGCGGUCGAUACGGGCAGGCUAGAGUUCGGUAGGGGAGACUGGAAUUCCUGGUGUAGCGGUGAAAUGCGCAGAUAUCAGGAGGAACACCGGUGGCGAAGGCGGGUCUCUGGGCCGAUACUGACGCUGAGGA
Molecule: ribosomal RNA, 670 nt
Filed under: Micromonospora sp. 101
Lineage: Bacteria; Bacillati; Actinomycetota; Actinomycetes; Micromonosporales; Micromonosporaceae
Description: bacterial SSU rRNA
Rfam family: Bacterial small subunit ribosomal RNA
Source: RNAcentral